GCCUAUUAUAAUAAUUAUCAUUAAAACUACGAUAUUUAGGUAGGAGUAUUUUUUUAUUUGUUAUGCGUAAUAUGAUUUCAAUUAUAAAAGAUAAAUAGACACUGUAAGUCACAAAUAAUCAGCAUGGAAAGAUUAGAUAAAAAGUCAAAUUUUGCCGAUUGCCCUUAAAUAUGUAUUUGGUUACCCUUGUUUCUGUUUAGAGCAAAAACUAAAGAAACUAGAGAGAAACUAAACCGAGUUAAAUAUCAGUUACACAAGAUCAUUAAAAUAUAUGUAGUGAUGUGAUGUAUUUAAUAAAAACGAAAACAUUGAAUAAAGAUUCUUUGUUAAAUUAAUCAUGCACCCUUGCUGGUUUUAAAUUAGUGAAAAAUAAUAGUAUUGAACAACGGAUAGUCGGUGUAUGCACACGAGAGAGAUAUUAUAAAGGGAGGGAAUACAAUGAAUUAAUAUUAAAAGGAUUGUUUCCCUUUGAACAGUAAGUUAUAAAUUAUUUAAGUUGUUAUAUUGUUGACAGUAUGAAAAAAGCGCCUCCACUAAUUUGAUUUCAGGGUAAUUUUCUCCAAUUUGGAUGCAAUUUGGAUUGUGUCUGAUGUUCAUAUGAUGUAAUCAUAAUCUUUCAGUCAGUUUAAUUGAAGACUGGAGCUGGCAUGUCAGUUAACUGCUAGUAGUCUGUUGUUAUUUAUGUAUUAUUGUCAUUUUGUUUAUUUUCUUUGAUUACAUCUUCUGACAUCAGACUCGGACUUUUCUUGAACUGAAUUUCAAUGUGCGUAUUGUAAUGCGUUUACUUUUCUACAUUGGCUAGAGGUAUAGAGGGAGGGUUGAGAUCUCACAAACAUGUUUAACCCCACCGCAUUUUUGCGCCUGUCCCAAGUCAGGAUCCUCUGGCCUUUGUUAGUCUUGUAUUAUUUUAAUUUUAGUUUUUUGUGUACAAUUUGGAAAUUAGUAUGGCGUUCAUUAUCACUGAACUAGUAUAUAUUUGUUUAGGGGCCAGCUGAAGGACGCCUCCGGGUGCGGGAAUUUCUCGCUACAUUGGAGACCUGUUGGUGACCUUCUGCUGUUGUUUUUUAUAUGGUCGGGUUGUUGUCUCUUUGACACAUUACCCAUUUCCAUUCUCAAUUUUAAUUUUAUCAACUAUUACAAAUUAUUAAUGUU
RNAcentral lists this long non-coding RNA (1152 nucleotides) under Mytilus galloprovincialis (Mediterranean mussel). Lineage: Eukaryota; Metazoa; Mollusca; Bivalvia; Mytilida; Mytilidae. The record is from RNAcentral.